UGGACAAAGAGGACCUUGAACUGGCUUUU
This 29-nucleotide non-coding RNA is filed under the name Rattus norvegicus (Norway rat). Lineage: Eukaryota; Metazoa; Chordata; Mammalia; Rodentia; Muridae. The record is from RNAcentral.